Molecule: unclassified non-coding RNA, 299 nt
Organism: Aotus nancymaae (Ma's night monkey)
Lineage: Eukaryota; Metazoa; Chordata; Mammalia; Primates; Aotidae
Rfam family: Metazoan signal recognition particle RNA
About the family: The signal recognition particle (SRP) is a universally conserved ribonucleoprotein. It is involved in the co-translational targeting of proteins to membranes. The eukaryotic SRP consists of a 300-nucleotide 7S RNA and six proteins: SRPs 72, 68, 54, 19, 14, and 9.
Source: Ensembl
GCCAGGCUUAGUGGCAAGUCCCUGUAGUCCCAGCUACUCGGGAGGCUAAGGCUGGAGUAUCGCUUGAGUCCAGGAGUUCUGGGCUGUAGUGCACUAUGCCGAUUAGGUGUCCACACUAAGUUCAGCAUCAGUAUGGUGACCUCCCGGGAGCAGGGGACCACCAGGUGGCCUAAGGAGGGGUAAACCGGCCCAGGUCGGAAAUGGACCAGGUCAAAACUCCCAUACUGAUCAGUAGUGGGAUGGAGCCUGUGAAUAGCUACUGCACUCCAGCCUGGGCAACAUAGCAAGACCCCAUCUCU